GCGGGCGUGGCGGAAUUGGCAGACGCGCCAGGUUUAGGUCCUGGUGGGGAAACCCGUGGGAGUUCAAGUCUCUUCGCCCGCACCA
Molecule: transfer RNA, 85 nt
Filed under: Coriobacteriales bacterium
Lineage: Bacteria; Bacillati; Actinomycetota; Coriobacteriia; Coriobacteriales
Description: tRNA-Leu
Rfam family: tRNA
About the family: Transfer RNA (tRNA) molecules are approximately 80 nucleotides in length. Their secondary structure includes four short double-helical elements and three loops (D, anti-codon, and T loops).
Source: RNAcentral